GACGAACGCUGGCGGCGUGCUUAACACAUGCAAGUCGAACGGAAAGGCCCUGCUUUUGUGGGGUGCUCGAGUGGCGAACGGGUGAGUAACACGUGAGUAACCUGCCCUUGACUUUGGGAUAACUUCAGGAAACUGGGGCUAAUACCGGAUAGGAGCUCCUGCUGCAUGGUGGGGGUUGGAAAGUUUCGGCGGUUGGGGAUGGACUCGCGGCUUAUCAGCUUGUUGGUGGGGUAGUGGCUUACCAAGGCUUUGACGGGUAGCCGGCCUGAGAGGGUGACCGGCCGCAUUGGGACUGAGAUACGGCCCAGACUCCUACGGGUGGCAGCAGUCGGGAAUAUUGCACAAUGGGCGGAAGCCUGAUGCAGCAACGCCGCGUGCGGGAUGACAGCCUUCGGGUUGUAAACCGCUUUCGCCUGUGACGAAGCGUGAGUGACGGUAAUGGGUAACGAAGCACCGGCUAACUACGUG
RNAcentral lists this ribosomal RNA (468 nucleotides) under uncultured bacterium. RNAcentral describes it as "partial 16S ribosomal RNA". It matches the Rfam family "Bacterial small subunit ribosomal RNA", at positions 28 to 507 of the family's 1533-position model. The record is from RNAcentral.